This 835-nucleotide ribosomal RNA is filed under the name Haptophyta environmental samples. Its description in RNAcentral is "bacterial SSU rRNA". It matches the Rfam family "Bacterial small subunit ribosomal RNA", at positions 481 to 1325 of the family's 1533-position model. Lineage: Eukaryota; Haptophyta. The record is from RNAcentral.
GAGGAAUAAGCAUCGGCUAACUCCGUGCCAGCAGCCGCGGUAAUACGGGGGAUGCAAGCGUUAUCCGGAAUCAUUGGGCGUAAAGCGCCUGUAGGUUGUUUAAUAAGUCUGUUGUUAAAGACUAGGGCUUAACCCUAGAAAAGCAAUGGAAACUACUAGACUAGAGUAUGGCAGGGGUAGAGGGAAUUUCUAGUGUAGCGGUGAAAUGCGUAGAUAUUAGAAAGAACACCGGUGGCGAAAGCGCUCUACUGGACCAUUACUGACACUCAGAGGCGAAAGCUAGGGUAGCAAAAGGGAUUAGAUACCCCUGUAGUCUUAGCCGUAAACGAUGGAUACUAGAUGUUGUGCAUAAAGUACAGUAUCAUAGCUAACGCGUUAAGUAUCCCGCCUGGGGAGUACGCUCGCAAGGGUGAAACUCAAAGGAAUUGACGGGGGCCCGCACAAGCGGUGGAGCAUGUGGUUUAAUUCGAUGCAACGCGAAGAACCUUACCAGGGCUUGACAUACUACAAAUCUUUUUGAGAAAGAGGAGUGCCUUCGGGAAUGUAGAUACAGGUGGUGCAUGGCUGUCGUCAGCUCGUGUCGUGAGAUGUUGGGUUAAGUCCCGCAACGAGCGCAACCCUUAUUUUUAGUUACUAAUUCGUUAGGUUUUCUAGAAAGACUGCCGGUGACAAACCGGAGGAAGGUGAGGAUGACGUCAAGUCAGCAUGCCCCUUAUGUCCUGGGCUACACACGUGCUACAAUGGCUAAGACAAAGAGUCGCGAGCUCGUGAGAGUCAGCUAAUCUCGUAAACUUAGCCUAAGUUCAGAUUGUAGGCUGCAACUCGCCUGCAGAAG